UGGGGAAUAUUGGACAAUGGGCGAAAGCCUGAUCCAGCCAUGCCGCGUGUGUGAAGAAGGUCUUCGGAUUGUAAAGCACUUUAAGUUGGGAGGAAGGGCAGUUACCUAAUACGUAGCUGUUUUGACGUUACCGACAGAAUAAGCACCGGCUAACUCUGUGCCAGCAGCCGCGGUAAUACAGAGGGUGCAAGCGUUAAUCGGAAUUACUGGGCGUAAAGCGCGCGUAGGUGGUUUGUUAAGUUGGAUGUGAAAGCCCCGGGCUCAACCUGGGAACUGCAUCCAAAACUGGCAAGCUAGAGUACGGUAGAGGGUGGUGGAAUUUCCUGUGUAGCGGUGAAAUGCGUAGAUAUAGGAAGGAACACCAGUGGCGAAGGCGACCACCUGGACUGAUACUGACACUGAGGUGCGAAAGCGUGGGGAGCAAACAGGAUUAGAUACCCCUGUAGUCCCUGAGCGGGCUGGCAAGGCGCAU
This 472-nucleotide ribosomal RNA is filed under the name uncultured bacterium. RNAcentral's name for it is "bacterial SSU rRNA". It matches the Rfam family "Bacterial small subunit ribosomal RNA", at positions 355 to 825 of the family's 1533-position model. The record is from RNAcentral.